AGAGUUUGAUCCUGGCUCAGGACGAACGCUGGCGGCGUGCCUAAUACAUGCAAGUCGAACGGUCUUUUCUAUGGAAGCUUGCUUCCACUGAGAAGAUAGUGGCGAACGGGUGAGUAACACGUGGGUAACCUGCCCAUAAGAGGGGGAUAACAUCCGGAAACGGGUGCUAAUACCGCAUAGUUUUCUUGAUCGCAUGAUCGAGAAAGGAAAGACGGCCUUUGUGCUGUCGCUUAUGGAUGGACCCGCGGCGUAUUAGUUAGUUGGUGAGGUAAUGGCUCACCAAGACGAUGAUACGUAGCCGACCUGAGAGGGUGAUCGGCCACAUUGGGACUGAGACACGGCCCAAACUCCUACGGGAGGCAGCAGUAGGGAAUCUUYCGCAAUGGACGAAARUCUGACGGAGCMACGCCGCGUGAGUGAAGAAGGUUUUCSGAUCGUAAAACUCUGUUGUCAGAGAAGAACAARUCGGAGAGUAAMYGCUCCCGGUCUUUGACGGKAUCUGASCAGAAAGCACGGCUAACUACGUGGCAGCAGCCGCGGUAAUACGUAGUGGSAAGCGUUGUCCGGAUUUAUGGGCGUAAAGCGAGSGSAGSGGUUCCUUAAGUCUGAUGUGAARGCCMCGCUCAACCGUGGAAGUCAUUGGAACUGGGGAACUUGRUGCAGAAGAGARAGUGGAAUUCAUGUGURGCGGUGAAAUG
RNAcentral lists this ribosomal RNA (698 nucleotides) under uncultured Trichococcus sp. RNAcentral describes it as "partial 16S rRNA". It matches the Rfam family "Bacterial small subunit ribosomal RNA", at positions 8 to 688 of the family's 1533-position model. Lineage: Bacteria; Bacillati; Bacillota; Bacilli; Lactobacillales; Carnobacteriaceae. The record is from RNAcentral.